CCUACGGGUGGCAGCAGUGGGGAAUAUUGGGCAAUGGGCGCAAGCCUGACCCAGCAAUGCCGCGUGAAGGAAGAAGGCUUUCGGGUUGUAAACCUCUUUGACAGGGGAAGAGACGAAUACGGUACCCUGAAUACAAGGCACGGCUAAAUACGGGCCAGCAGCCGCGGUAAUACGGAGGUGGAGAGCGUUAUCCGGGUUUUAUGGGUGGAAAGGGAGGGUUGACGGGCAGGCAAGUCAGGUGGGAAAGCCGUGGGCCCAACCCAAAGAGUUGAUUUGAAACUGGAUUGCUUGAGGACAGGAGAGGUAAGUGGAAUGCGUGGUGUAGCGGUGAAAUGCGUAGAUAUGAGGAGGAACGCCAGUGGCGAAGGCAGCUUACUGGACUGUAACUGACAUUGAGGCUCGAAAGCGUGGGUAGCAAACAGGAUUAGAGACCCGAGUAGUC
This 442-nucleotide ribosomal RNA is filed under the name uncultured bacterium. RNAcentral's name for it is "partial 16S ribosomal RNA". It matches the Rfam family "Bacterial small subunit ribosomal RNA", at positions 338 to 795 of the family's 1533-position model. The record is from RNAcentral.